CAAUAGCGUAUAUUAAAGUUGUUGCAGUUAAAAGCUCGUAGUUGGAUUUCUGUCACUUGCUUGCUGACUAUCUUUAUUGAUAGUUCAUGUAUAGCUGUGCCAUUCUCCGGUUGAGGUAUGCUUUAUGUAUGCAUCAUCUGGACUUUUACUUUGAGUAAAUUAGAGUGUUUCAAGCAAGCCAUUGCCGUGAAUACUGCAGCAUGGAAUAAUAAUAUAGGACGUUGGUUCUAUGUUGUUGGUUCUGAGAGCCGAUGUAAUGAUUAAUAGGAACAGUUGGGGGGCAUUCGUAUUAAACAGCUAGAGGUGAAAUUCUUAGAUUUGUUUAAGACGAACUACAGCGAAAGCAUUUGCCAAGGAUGUUUUCAUUAAUCAAGAACGAAAGUUAGGGGAUCGAAGACGAUCAGAUACCA
This 410-nucleotide ribosomal RNA is filed under the name uncultured eukaryote. Its description in RNAcentral is "bacterial SSU rRNA". It matches the Rfam family "Eukaryotic small subunit ribosomal RNA", at positions 592 to 1017 of the family's 1831-position model. The record is from RNAcentral.